RNAcentral lists this ribosomal RNA (447 nucleotides) under uncultured Bacillota bacterium. RNAcentral's name for it is "bacterial SSU rRNA". It matches the Rfam family "Bacterial small subunit ribosomal RNA", at positions 356 to 795 of the family's 1533-position model. The record is from RNAcentral. Lineage: Bacteria; Bacillati; Bacillota.
GGGGAAUUUUCCGCAAUGGGCGAAAGCCUGAUGGAGCAACGCCGCGUGAGUGAAGAAGGCCUUCGGGUUGUAAAGCUCUGUCCUUGGGGAAGAACCGUAGUGAUAGCAAAUGCUCACUACCUGACGGUACCCAUGGAGGAAGCACUGGCUAACUACGUGCCAGCAGCCGCGGUAAUACGUAGAGUGCAAGCGUUGUCCGGAAUCAUUGGGCGUAAAGGGUACGCAGGCGGAUAUGCAAGUCAAAUGUGAAAACUACCGGCUUAACUGGUAGACUGCGUUUGAAACUGUAUAUCUUGAGUGCAGCAGAGGAGAGCGGAAUUUCUAGUGUAGUGGUGGAAUACGUAGAUAUUAGAAAGAACACCAGUGGCGAAGGCGGCUCUCUGGGCUGACACUGACGCUCAGGUACGAAAGCUGGAGGAGCGAAAGGGAUUAGAUACCCCUGUAGUC